This 395-nucleotide ribosomal RNA is filed under the name uncultured bacterium. RNAcentral's name for it is "partial 16S ribosomal RNA". It matches the Rfam family "Bacterial small subunit ribosomal RNA", at positions 523 to 918 of the family's 1533-position model. The record is from RNAcentral.
AUACGUAGGGUGCAAGCGUUAAUCGGAAUUACUGGGCGUAAAGCGUGCGCAGGCGGUUUUGUAAGACAGAGGGGAAAUCCCCGGGCUCAACCUGGGAACUGCCUUUGUGACCGGAAGGCUAGAGUACGGCAGAGGGGGAUGGGAUUCCGCGUGUAGCAGGGGAAUGCGUAGAUAUGCGGAGGAACACCGAUGGCGAAGGCAAUCCCCUGGGCCUGUACUGACGCUCAUGCACGAAAGCGUGGGGAGCAAACAGGAUUAGAUACCCUGGUAGUCCACGCCCUAAACGAUGUCAACUGGUUGUUGGGUCUUAACUGACUCAGUAACGAAGCUAACGCGUGAAGUUGACCGCCUGGGGAGUACGGCCGCAAGGUUGAAACUCAAAUGAAUUGACGGGG